AUGAAACACAGGGGGUGGAAAAAAGACCCUAAAUGUUCCUUUUGUGCGGAGAAAGAAACUUCUCAACAUUUAUUUUUCACUUGUCCAGUAGCCAGGGUGACUUGGAGGGCUGUAGCUUGUAUGUUUGGAACUGAUCUAUGCCCUAACAAUAUAUGGCAAUCUUACUCUUGGUGUCAUUCCUUCUUCCCAGAGGGGGAGGUGUUCUAUACUGUGGGCAUUGCAGCCAUAUGCUGGGCUAUCUGGACUUGUCGCAAUAGAGCUACAUUUGAAUUUAUUCCUCUUAAAAACCCGUUUGAAUGCACAUUUUCCACUUGUGCUCUUCUAUAUUACUGGGCAGGGCUGAUGAAGCAAAAGGGAUGCGGACGACCUAAGGACUGGAGCGACCAUGCUGAAGAACAGUGCUUCAAGGCUGAUGCAGAUUUGUGCCACGGCGUACCAGGAAGAUAG
This 447-nucleotide ribosomal RNA is filed under the name Triticum aestivum (bread wheat). RNAcentral's name for it is "partial small subunit ribosomal RNA". The record is from RNAcentral. Lineage: Eukaryota; Viridiplantae; Streptophyta; Magnoliopsida; Poales; Poaceae.